Molecule: long non-coding RNA, 5927 nt
Filed under: Sus scrofa (pig)
Lineage: Eukaryota; Metazoa; Chordata; Mammalia; Artiodactyla; Suidae
Description: lncRNA (ENSSSCG00015071267.1)
Source: RNAcentral
GCUUUCAUAAAUGGAGAGUGAGCCAGAAUAGUUCUCGCAUUACAGCCGCUCGGGUCUCCAGUGACGAUGGGGAGAAGGGUUAAUUGGAGACUGAACUUGCCUUCUCAGAAAGACAGCGGUGUCGUGCUUGCCCGCUGUGCCAACCCUCUCCCCAAACCCUCCGCGGCAAUGAAGAUGCUCCCAGCUGCUGCCACAGCGUCUACGGAGAGACAGGCUUUUCACUUGUAAAGGUGGAGCAGCCGGGCUCGGAGGAGGGCUCUGGGAAACAUGGUGCAAAGUGCCGAGGGCAGGCUGCUCCCGGAGCCUGACUAGCUGGGCGCUACUGGCUCUGGCCGCUGCCUGGUGCCGCCGCACCGGUGGACGGACCUCCCAGGCGGGAAAAGUAAGAGAGUCACCCUGGACUUACCGCGACAAGGCUGCUGCCUGCAGCUCCCAUGCAAAGAGCAGGCGGCUUCUCAGCAAACGGGAGCCGGGCGCUGAGAGGAAGCUUCGAAACCGUGGCAAGACAGCCAGGCCAGAGGCAUGGAGCGUGUGUCCGGGGCUGGGAGUCACGGCGUGGACCAGCGGCCACAGGGCUCUGCCAGACAAGUGCACUGCAGCAGGGUGGCGGGCAUAGGAUUGCGACGCGUGUCCCAUAUAUUCAAGCGUAAUAGAAAACACGGAUCUGGAGUUGACUCCAUGUGGAUGUGGGGGCCUCCUGGUCCAGAGCAGGAAAGGGAGGCUCUUGGCUGGAAAUGGAAUUAGCCACUGAGGCGGCAGCCUGCAGAACCCCCUGGGACGUCCAUGCAGAAAGCAGGUGCCUCUGUCUGCUGAUGUUUCACAGAAACGGCUAUAAUCUCAUUUCACAAACGAUCCCUAUUUAGACGGGAGCCACCUAUUGUGAUGAAAUCAUUUGCUCCAGUGGCCAUAAAUGGGCAACUUCCUGGGAUCGUCACAGCACUGACGCCACGGUCUCUGGAAAGUGGUGGGCAGGGCACUCGCAGGCCGGCCACCAGGGCAGCGCAGGGCUCUGGAGGGCUGGAAAGUGACAGCCCAGGAAAGCCCUCCACCCAAAGGGCUCCGCACAGCCCCUCCUCUGGGAAAGAGGGAGGGGCCUAAGCGGCAGUGGGAUGGAGGACUGAGGAACACUGUCUGCUGACAGCGGAGGUUUGGGACCUUGCUGCUGCCCUGACGGAGCUGAGACCCACCCUGCUUCACCCCCGCCUGCAGCCCUUGCUCUGGAAGACUCCUGGUCAGUGGGAUGGACGCUGAGCCCAGGAACCAUGCAGAGUGGCCUUGCCACCAAUCCCAUCCCCAAGGGAGCAUCUGGAAUGGCCAGUGAGCUGAGGGCUGUUUACCUCCACCUCCACCCUGUCACCCUCUGUGCCCAGGCAGACGGUUGGGGAGAACCAAGCUCAAGAGCGAGAUGCCCACGGCCAAGUUGGGGACACAGGAGUCAGGGACACAGUGAGGAGAAGACAGACACAGAGUCUCACAAUAAGCCUCCAGGAAUCCCCCUCCCACCACUUGGUGACCGAGACAUUCAGUGGGGGAGGCAGACUUUCCACAUUCUUGAACCUAAGAUGGCAGGUGAAUGAAGACAGCAGGUUUGCCGACACCCUCAGUUGAUCAUGAGGCCCCGAUGCGCCAUGUGUUCCUGGUGGGGUCAAGCGUUCACCUGAGAUGUUCCCAGGCACAGUGCCCAAGGACUGAGGGGAGGUCUGCUGGAGUCGCACCUGUGCCCAGGCUGAAAGCCACACGGCACAGAAGGCCACGCUGGGGACACCAGGUCACAAUAGGUCAAGAUGGGGCUCUGAGUGAGGGACACCACAGGGUCGGGCGCAUGGGAGUCAGCUUCAGGCCACACGUCAGGCUGCCUCCUGCAGCAACGCUGCGCCUGACCUCAGCUGGCUUUCGGAGACCUUGGCGGGGACCUCAUGACCCAGCUCAGGAAGGAAGACCACCUGAGCCAAACGCAUGGUGUGUCCCUCUGUGUGGACAGCACCAUGACCAAACUUAUGUCCCCUGGAACCUGAGAAUGUGACCCUAUCUGGGAACAAGAGUCUUCACACGCACCAUUCAUAAGGGUCUUGUGAGGCAGCAGUGCUGGCUUCAUGCUGGCCCCAAAGCCAAGGGCAGGCUUCCGGCUAGAGAGGCAGCAGUCAGAGGCUGCAGUGGUGCGUCCACAAGCCAGGACCACCAGGCCUGUGUUCAUGCCGAGGCCAGGCUCGCCAGACGGGCCCUGAGCCUCAAAAGAAGCCAGCCCUGGGGCCCCAGUCUUGGACAUCUGCCCGCAGACGGUGAGACUGGGCAGUUAUGUUGUUUGAAGUCCGCAGCCUGUGGCCUCUGGCUAUAGCAGCCCCAGGAAACACAUUCGACCUCAAGUCCUGAGACAGUGCUAGAUUCUGUGGAGGGGCUCACAUCAUCACUGACGCCACCAUGAAGAACUCAAGCUGCAGUCCCACAUCCCCAAGGCCCUCCCACCUGGUUGAGCGGCUUCCCCAGCAACACGAGAUGCCGUGGGACAUCCUGCACCCAGAGCCUAGAAGCACCUCGAAACCGCCAGCUUUUAAUGCAUGUGCUUUAUGCUGCUGAUGACAAUCAGAACCAACCAACUGGAAUCACUUACACGGCCACCGGGCUUAGUCCUCCAGGCUCAGGCCGUUGUCACCGCCUGAGGUCCCUCCAGCAGGUGUCACCUUGUCUGUGGUUUUCUCUGCUCAAGGCACCCACAUGCGGCAGAGCUGCUGUCCCACACCAGUCUCCCCCAGGAGAGCCUGUGCACUCGGGGGGACGCAGACAGCCGUCCUUCCCCUUGGCCACACCACAUGCUGGGAGUAUCGUGGAUAAGAGUGGAUCGAGACACCUGCCUCAGUGCAGCCGCGGACAGAGGAGGACACAGCAGGGGAUCUCUGCUUACGACACCUCAUCUACCUGCUGGCUGUAUUCACUAUGAAUGAAGGCAGAUGAUUAAGUUGGGAUUUCUUCCUCCUGAGCCUCCUACUAGGCACGGUGAGACGUUUCAUGGGUGUAACUGCAUUUCUCCACCGCAGCUCGUCAGUGCAGAUGGUGGUGGUGCCUCCAACCUCAACUAGAGAGACUGAGUCUGUCCAAAAGUACCUUCUGGAGUGAGUCUCCAGCAUGGUCUGAACUCAAGCCCAGCUCUGUCCACUCUGAGGUCAAUGUCACCUCCACACGACGCUAACAGAAUUCCUGUCAUCAAACCACAUUCACCCUGAGGCACUGAGUCCUUCUGCGCAGCUUCUCCUGGAGCUGCACUGAGUGACAAACAUGCUGGGACCCUGGGCUGUGGUCCUGCUGGCUGAGGGGCAGCAUGCCCUUCCUCACUAGUUCUACAGAAAGAGAGCAAAAAUGACUCCUUGAAAUAUGCAUCCCAAACCAGAAAAGUCCUAGCAUUAAAAUCAAGCAACAAAUACACCAGGAAAAAGAGGCGAGCCCGAUGGGAGAAAGCACAGGUGACCAGAGGGAAGACGUAGGCAGAGCCGCGAGAAUCCAAUCCUUCUCCAAAUGCACAGAUUUGCUCAACAAAAUGAAACUCUGAAACCCACAGACUUUAAGGAGCCGCACGCACUUGAGGGAAACACACUAUGACAUCAAAAGUGGAUGACCCGCCGGUCAGGCCUCUCGUAAAACGAUUCCACUUAAUGCACUGGACUGAGAUGAUUUAAUCAAAAGUUGUCACAAGAAACAGCAUGGGUAGGAUUUCCUAAAACACAACAAUUUUUUUUAUUACUCAAUGAAUUUAUUACAUUUAUAGUUGUACAAUGAUCACCACAAUCCAGUUUUAUAGUAUUCCCAUCCCACACCCCCAGCGCAUCCCCCCAGCCCCCAAAGUGUCUCCUUUGGAAAGCAAAAGUUUUUCAAAGUCUGUGAGUCAGUAUCUGUUCUGCAAAGAAGUUCACUGUGUCCUUUUUUCAGAUUCCACAUGUCAGUGAUAGCAUUUGAUGUUGGCGUCUCAUUGUCUGACUGACUUCACUUAGCAUAAUAAUUCCUUAAAGUCCUUUAAUGUUACUGUGAGUUUAUUAGGGUGCAGCCUAACAGACAACUGGCCCUGCAGUGACAUGAUUCCACCCAGAAGACACAGGGGCCACCCACCAUCCCACACCCAAGUCCCCUGCCACCACCACUUCUCAUAUCUCAACACCAUCCAUGGUUCACCAGGAUUAUACCAGCUUCACUCUUUCCAAUGGCUCUUUUCUGUACCAAACAGGUUUUACUGUCCCUGCAUUUAAACAUUGAGAAGCUAAGGUUUACACAUAGUGAAUAUUUUGCCCCAAUUUAUGAAGAAUCAGAGUUCAAACACGGUUCUAUAGACUCUGGUUGGCAACUUCCUCAGUGGAACCAGCUCUCACUCUUUCUCAUGUAGGAGCCCUCUGGAUGUUCAGACUCCUGAGGUAGCUGGAGGAAGGUCACUCGAAGGUCGAACAGCCAGAAGGGUGUCUACUGUUGCGAAGGAGAGACAGCAUUGAGAGAGAAGAGGAAUUUGGCUGUAGGUUUUUAAUGGCAACUGUCUGCCAGCAGGGCUAUUAAAAAACACAUAAUGGAAUCUAAGUAAUAAGCACAGAGUUUAAGUGGAAACAUCUAUUUAUUAUCUGAUGUGAACAUUAAACCAGAUAAAGCCCUACUAUAUCCAUGGGUAGGGGCCGGCCACUUGUCAUCUUCAUACUUGGAGCAGAAGGAGGAGACUUAAAUUUUGGGACUCUAAAUCAGGGUCCACACAGUUAAAAAUGAAAAGUAGAAAUCCACUUGCCAGUUUAAUAAGUUGAGCUGAAGUCUUAAUGAACUGUCUUCUGCCUCCCCUAAAAGAGAUCUUAUAGCUCCUGAACCACUAGCAGACCACUGUAUGUUUGGAGAUUGUCAAAGUUUCAUCAUAUAAUUAGACACUUAAGAACAUGGUCUCAUAACAAACUCUACUUUUUAAAAACAAUAAAUUUUAUUAUAUAUAUAGCUGUAUAACAACCUUCGUAACCCAACAUAAAUUCUAUUAAUAGCUUCCGCUACCAAAGUAUCUGUCACAUAGAAAUUGACUUCUGGGUAAAUGUUUAAGAAAGUUGAUCCUUAUCAACAUCUGAGACACAUGUGUAUUUCAUACAUGACUUUUUCUGAGCAUGUGCUAUUUCAACAUUUGUUGCUGUGGGAGCAAACUAUUUAAUUGUGCAUGUACAAUUAAAUGCUCAGUGAGAAAAAUCUAUUUUUGUGUAUCAUGGGCUAAGAAGACUGUUAUUAUUUUGUUCUAGUGCUUUUUAUAAAACAAACAAAAAGCAUUAGUAAGAAAGUCUGAUAAGGAAAAAUCUUUCUAGGUAAGUUAUAGCUUUUCUUUAUAUUGAUUAUUUGGGAGGAGUCUGUUCUCAGACCACUCAAGAGUUUUAAAAUUUUGACUAAUAAAACAGCACAAAACUAACACAAUACAAAACAGUAAAUCCCAAUGUUCUAAAUAAUCUUUGUUUCUGCUGAGAAAUUAAUUUCUGCUGUUAUGUUUUAUUCAUUUGUCAUUCAUUAUCUCAUAAUUCCUGGUCAUUCAAUCCAAGGGGGGAAUAACAAAUUACUGUGUAUGUUUUAUUCAAUUUUUAUAUUCUUAAGGAAUUCAACGAAAAAUAGAAAUAUUUGCAUAAAUAUAACAUAUUCUAAUAUACAGUGAGUUAGACUAUCUUAAUGAUAUCUGUGAUUCAAAGUCUUAUGUUUAUUUGAUGGUAAAACAAGUCCUGAAAUCCUAACAGUAAUAGCUAACUAAAACCCUCAGUUUUUGUCUAAGAACGAAGCAUAGUCAUUUAAUACAGACACUAAAAUAACAGAGCAUAAUUUUUAUAUACUAUGUUUGAAUACAUACAUGGCUACAGGGUUUUAUGCAUGUAUUUUUGUGUUACUCUUUGUGUAUACGUGUGCGUGUUCUAACCAAAAGAAGAAAAAUAAUAAACAAACAAACCUUC